RNAcentral lists this ribosomal RNA (253 nucleotides) under uncultured bacterium. Its description in RNAcentral is "partial 16S ribosomal RNA". It matches the Rfam family "Bacterial small subunit ribosomal RNA", at positions 524 to 776 of the family's 1533-position model. The record is from RNAcentral.
UACGUAGGGUGCGAGCGUUAAUCGGAAGUACUGGGCGUAAAGUGUGCGCAGGCGGCUUCGCAAGUCGAGUGUGAAAUCCCCGAGCUUAACUUGGGAAUUGCGCUCGAAACUACGGAGCUGGAGUGUGGCAGAGGAAGGUGGAAUUCCACGUGUAGCGGUGAAAUGCGUAGAGAUGUGGAGGAACACCGAUGGCGAAGGCAGCCUUCUGGGCCAACACUGACGCUCAUGCACGAAAGCGUGGGGAGCAAACAGG